GUAGGGUCCGAGCGUUGUCCGGAAUUACUGGGCGUAAAGAGCUCGUAGGUGGUUUGUCGCGUUGUUCGUGAAAACUCACAGCUUAACUGUGGGCGUGCGGGCGAUACGGGCAGACUAGAGUACUGCAGGGGAGACUGGAAUUCCUGGUGUAGCGGUGGAAUGCGCAGAUAUCAGGAGGAACACCGGUGGCGAAGGCGGGUCUCUGGGCAGUAACUGACGCUGAGGAGCGAAAGCGUGGGGAGCGAACAGG
Molecule: ribosomal RNA, 250 nt
Filed under: uncultured bacterium
Lineage: Bacteria
Description: partial 16S ribosomal RNA
Rfam family: Bacterial small subunit ribosomal RNA
Source: RNAcentral